GGAGGCGGUGGUGGGGGUGGUGGCGGCGGGGGUGGCGGUGACUCAUGGAAUCGAGAGGAACGAGGGCGAAACGGGAAUCAGCAGUCUCGCGGUCAUCAACGUUCACGAGGUCGCAACCACAACAAUCGCAACUGUCAGCGCCGGCGGAAUGGUUGUCAUCAAAACCGUCAUCACCAAAAACAACAGGGAGACGGAGACACGGGACCACCGGAAGGACCGCAGCGGGGUGCCUUUCUUCCCGGCGUAGACCCCCGCCAACAGGCGUUCCAGUUGUCUAAUGUUUUAUCAGCUCCAGCGCAAUUCUCCUUUCGACGGCAGAUCCCGCGAACCACGACACAAGGCACGGUCGUGGCGGCACAAGAACAACCGGAAGAUACGGAAACUGCCGCUGAUGAUGAAGAAGACACGACCCCAGUGCAAAAUUUAUGACCACCCUCUGACCUCUAAAGGGCAAGGUGCAAAAUGGCCUUCAGGAGGUCAUAAAGUAGGCAAAUAGAUGGCAUCCGGGAGCCCCCCCAACUUUGAGGCCUCUGGAAGGCGCCGCCGGAUGCCAGCAAAAUGGCUGUUGGUUAUGGGCCUCCCAAAGGUGCCAUGGCAGCGUUCCCGGUGCCUUCCAGAUGGCAAUCCCGGAUUGACUAUUAGGGCCUGUUAUUAAACCACAUAGUGCCUAUUGCGGCACUGCCUACUAUACAAGGCUGGAUUAUCCAUGUAUAUUGUAAUCAAGUGGGAUUUUUUAACCAUGAUCUGUACGUUACUGGGCCAUUUUAUCCCCCGGAUGCUAUCAUGCUAGCUAGUAAUUUAGUGCAGAAUUGCACACUCGUGAUAAUUGCCAUGUUUUAGUUAGAUAAAUACAUUUUUGUAUUUUACCAACUAGCGCAAUCAUCGCCAAUAUUGCCCUAAGUUUCCUAAUAAAACUAACUGGACAAUGGCGCAUAUUGUAUGAUAUUUUCUUCAGUUUUCCACCAAUUUAAUAAUUAUUUAAAUUUUAUUAGCGCUUGCAUUAUUGAAAAAUGAGAAAAUAAAUAACAAUAAACAAAUAUUGAUAAAGAAUGCGAAAACAAUAUCAAUAAUAAUAAAUACGAUUAAAUAAGUGGCAAAUAUAAUUAGCAACAAUUAAUAUUAGUAAUUAUUAAAGAUAUUAGCAAUUGUUCAUGGAUGCAAGCGCUAAUUUGAUACUUACUAUUAUUAUUCCUCAUUUUUCUAACAGUAUUUUAUAAUGCAAAAAGAAUUUUUUGUAAUUACUGUAACAAAAAAACGCUCUGAGAAAGAGUACGUUGUGCGAACGAAAGAAUAUUAAAUUUUACGUAAAAGAAAGUAGAGUACAGUACAAUUAAGUAAAUCAAUUUCAUGAAUAAAUUUUGGAGAAUUGGAGUAAAUCCACACUGCCAGCCGCGGCAGUGUAACCCAUUCCCGCGUUUGGAGGCGGAGCUAGGCAGCAACGGCAGCUGAACUGCACUGCUGCAGUCUGUCUUUUUCACUUUGUCAAGAACCUUGUCCAUAUGGAUAAAAAUUAAUCAUAUAUAUAAACGAUUGUUAUUCUAAUUUAAUAGUUAUUACAAUUAUAAGACACCACAAAUAGUUAACUAUCAAUUGUGCUUGUUGGCAGAGGGUUGCUUGAAUCGCUUUGUUUGAUAUGUUUGCGCUCAUGCAUGAUACAGCGAUACUUAUCCUUGUUAUAACAGUAAUAAUAACACAUGUGGGUUACUGCAACUGACGAUGGACUACUCACUACUUUCGCGUCUGGUGUUUUUACUCCUUCGAAACCUAUAAUCUUGGAAACCUAUAUUCCUAAAUCUUGUACUCUGGAUACUCUGGAGGCCAGGCUUAGCCAGCGCUCAUUUCAAGAUUACCCUGAAAACUCCUCGUUGUCAGUCGCAGAUCUUCAUGGGUCCCCAAGUUCUGCAGCAACGGUGCUUACGGCGUACCCUGUGAUCCUAGGGGAAAUCAAGGCCAACGGGAACUUCAACGCUCAAAGUCAUACCAUUCACCACUAAUGAGACGUAUGCGUUCAAGGCUCAUCGCUGACGCUCAGUGCGACACUGCGACGGAGAGACGCUGGUGGGUCUUUAUUGAGCAACGACUACCGCGCCCGCGACGUAACGGCCUCGUUGACGCUGGACCAGAUGGACAUUUAGAGCGCAUCGGACAACGCCGUCGGCGCCGAGCCAGAACAUAUGCCAGGGCAUACUGAUCCGGUUUCCCGGCGGCCAGAUUGUUUCGCUCAGCAGCAGAUACACCGGCAGUGACUUUCAUAUGGCGGCCCUAGCCUACACAGCGUGACCAGCGUCGGCUACGCCUUCGAGAUCCCCAAAACCAUCGCGGCCUUCCGUGGUGCGCACGGAGUGAGUGUCAAGUGCAUUUGUUGUAUUCCCAUUUGACCGUUUGAUAAAGUCUGUCUCCAUCCAGAGCCGGAAUCCGCUUAUUAAACAUAUAUCUUCCGAGUGGAUAUUGGACACGCUAGCCUCGAUUUUUAAUUAAUGAAGUCUUGUUUAUUAAAGACAUAUCUGGUUUAGCUUUUAAGAUUUAAAUAAGGUAAUUAUCCUCUUGGUUAGUCAUGGAGUGUGGUGGUGUUUGUUGGCUUGAUAAAUUUUAUUUAAUUUCAAACUGAAUGGAAAUCCUGCAAUGGUAUUGUCCUUAUUACGGUAUUUGGUGAAUCUCAAUAAAAACAGUACGAGCGAGCUAUCCCGUACGCAAAAGCU
Molecule: long non-coding RNA, 2699 nt
Organism: Paramacrobiotus metropolitanus
Lineage: Eukaryota; Metazoa; Tardigrada; Eutardigrada; Parachela; Macrobiotidae
Exons: 7
Source: RefSeq, a predicted model, not a curated record